Molecule: long non-coding RNA, 232 nt
Filed under: Carica papaya (papaya)
Lineage: Eukaryota; Viridiplantae; Streptophyta; Magnoliopsida; Brassicales; Caricaceae
Description: long non-coding RNA (CPAP_LNC016494)
Source: RNAcentral
CACCUUAACCUAAGGGGGCCACAAAUGGAGGAGUGAUGAAGGGUCCAGGGGAGACAUCGUCUCUGAUCAACGAGGAUUCUCUAUCGCAUAAGCUUCAGCAAUCAUAGUGAUGAUUCAUUGAUGGUAUUAACCCGUAAGCACAACAAUAGCUCAUUUAGGGUUUGGUAACGGGGACCAAGUGGAGAUGAUGGUGCUGUUUGAUAAGCACAAUUAGAAUAAUACACUAAUAUGC